GAUGAACGCUGGCGGCGUGCCUAAUACAUGCAAGUCGAGCGAACGGACGAGAAGCUUGCUUCUCUGAUGUUAGCGGCGGACGGGUGAGUAACACGUGGAUAACCUACCUAUAAGACUGGGAUAACUUCGGGAAACCGGAGCUAAUACCGGAUAAUAUUUUGAACCGCAUGGUUCAAAAGUGAAAGACGGUCUUGCUGUCACUUAUAGAUGGAUCCGCGCUGCAUUAGCUAGUUGGUAAGGUAACGGCUUACCAAGGCAACAAUGCAUAGCCGACCUGAGAGGGUGAUCGGCCACACUGGAACUGAGACACGGUCCAGACUCCUACGGGAGGCAGCAGUAGGGAAUCUUCCGCAAUGGGCGAAAGCCUGACGGAGCAACGCCGCGUGAGUGAUGAGGGUCUUCGGAUCGUAAAACUCUGUUAUUAGGGAAGAACAUAUGUGUAAGUAACUGUGCACAUCUUGACGGUACCUAAUCAGAAAGCCACGGCUAACUACGUG
This 497-nucleotide ribosomal RNA is filed under the name uncultured bacterium. RNAcentral's name for it is "partial 16S ribosomal RNA". It matches the Rfam family "Bacterial small subunit ribosomal RNA", at positions 28 to 507 of the family's 1533-position model. The record is from RNAcentral.